CAUUAGGAAGGUUGAGAACCACUGUUCUCGGGGAACUGGGUACACUGGAGCUGCACAGACAGCUGUGAUCAAGGAGAUGCCAAGAAUGACCAAGACCAAUCAGUAAUGAUACUGAAUUUACUUUCCAAAUCUAAUGAAUCAGAAUUGCCAGGGGUGGUACCCGAUCAUCACACAAGCAUGUUUCAAAUCCUUCACUGACUCCAAAGAGGUCAAGCUUGAAUUUAUAUCUUCAUCUAUAAGACUCCAGAAUCCAAGAUGUUUCCUGUCAGCAUCCUGAUGCUGCUUCCAGAUUAAGAAGGUCAGAAGCCAAACAGAAGCCAGACUUACUUUCCUGCUCGUGUCUGUUGGUCCUGGGCUUGUGACCAGCUCCUGUACCAGGUCUUCUCUGGGGAUCCUGGAGAGAGAAGGCAAUCCAGACCACGGCUGUUUUCCAAGACAUGAUGUGGAAUCCUGCUGUUUCUGCAUCAGAUAAAUCAAUGAUAAUCUUUAACUCAGUGAGGGGCGAGUCACGGGGAUGUAUUCUUGCAUCCAUGGUGCUGCAAUCAUCAGAUUUCCUGGAGCCCAUUCACCAGCGGUUCUGAACUUGCCAGAUUGCUUGCUGGGCCUAAAAUACUGCAUGUGUGUGGUGACCCCGGCCUGGUUGUUUCCAUGAAUCCUCUUUCCCUAACUCACAACUGACAUUUCCAAGUCACACAGGGGGGAAAGGGCUCCAGUCUCAGCAUUUCCAUUAGUGGUUUUGGCCGGGUCUGGCCUGUCACUGAACUGCUCUCUCCUGGCACCAAUUCUAUGGUGGUGGGAGCAGAGAGAACCGAGGAAGGGACAGGGAGGGCAGGCUGCACGUGUCUUCUGCAGUCUGAUCCUUAUUUUCCCUUUCCAUUCUUCCUCUGUGGCGAUUUUUGGCAAGACAAAAUUCUUGGUUGUGAGCCUAGCCUUUAAAGGUGGAGCCAUCUCUCCACCCCAGCAAGACAAUAUUUUUCUCCAAAUGCAUUCAGUUGGUCGUUCCUUUCUUUAUUCAUCUGCUUGUGUAAGCUACACAAAUGAAGCCUUUGUUGUGAGGUACAUGUGGAGGAGCUGUGAGAUUUAAACUUGGCAUGUAAAAUAAUAGUUUUCAUUAUGAUGUUG
RNAcentral lists this long non-coding RNA (1122 nucleotides) under Cricetulus griseus (Chinese hamster). Its description in RNAcentral is "lncRNA (ENSCGRG00015037011.1)". The record is from RNAcentral. Lineage: Eukaryota; Metazoa; Chordata; Mammalia; Rodentia; Cricetidae.